This 378-nucleotide unclassified non-coding RNA is filed under the name plant metagenome. Its description in RNAcentral is "partial contains 5.8S ribosomal RNA, internal transcribed spacer 2, and large subunit ribosomal RNA". The stretch from base 1 to 105 matches the Rfam family "5.8S ribosomal RNA", at positions 50 to 154 of the family's 154-position model. The record is from RNAcentral.
GAAAUGCGAUAAGUAAUGUGAAUUGCAGAAUUCAGUGAAUCAUCGAAUCUUUGAACGCACCUUGCGCUCCUUGGUAUUCCUUGGAGCAUGCCUGUUUGAGUAUCAUGAAAUCUUCAAAGUAAAUCUUUUGUUAACUCAAUUGGUUUCUACUUUGGUAUUGGAGGUCUUUGCAGCUUCACACCUGCUCCUCUUUGUUCAUUAGCUGGAUCUCAGUGUUAUGCUUGGUUCCACUCGGCGUGAUAAGUUAUCUAUCGCUGAGGACACUGUAAAAGGUGGCCAAGGUAAAUGCAGAUGAACCGCUUCUAAUAGUCCAUUGACUUGGACAAUACUUUUAUGAUCUGAUCUCAAAUCAGGGAGAACUACCCGCUGAACUUAAGC